RNAcentral lists this unclassified non-coding RNA (399 nucleotides) under Hevea brasiliensis (rubber tree). The record is from RNAcentral. Lineage: Eukaryota; Viridiplantae; Streptophyta; Magnoliopsida; Malpighiales; Euphorbiaceae.
UGCUUAAUAAUUUUUAUGGAAAUACAAGCCCGCAUGGGAAGGAAAAAUAAAAUAAAGAUCGUACAAAAAAUAAUAAUAAUCACACCAUCGCCGAUGACUCCUGCACAAGAGGAAGCAACUCCCCUGAAGCGACCAUCACCACCACGACGACCAUAACUCUCUUCCUCAACAGAAAAAUCCUCUAUAACCCACAAAACAGCAUGAACCAAAACGACAGGCAAAGAACCAGCCAACGUCAAAAGAAGAUGUAAACCAGCAUUUGUCAGGACAAGCUCAACCNNUGCAACAACUAUCACAGGAAGCACCAAUCUUUUGUCCAAAAUCUUAUGAAUAAUAUUAGAACUUGGCACUGCACUUAACAGUAACAGGUACAGAGAUCCCACAUAGGUCAUGAUCACC